RNAcentral lists this ribosomal RNA (245 nucleotides) under uncultured bacterium. RNAcentral's name for it is "partial 16S ribosomal RNA". It matches the Rfam family "Bacterial small subunit ribosomal RNA", at positions 524 to 768 of the family's 1533-position model. The record is from RNAcentral.
UACGUAUGGGGCAAGCGUUGUUCGGAAUUAUUGGGCGUAAAGGGCGUGUAGGUGGCUUUGCAAGUCUGGUGUAAAACUCUUCGGCUUAACCGGAGAUGUGCGCUGGAAACUGCAAGGCUUGAGUUCUGAAUGGGAAGCUGGAAUUCCUGGUGUAGGGGUGAAAUCUGUAGAUAUCAGGAAGAACACCAAUGGCGAAGGCAAGCUUCUGGGCAAGAACUGACACUGAGGCGCGAAAGCGUGGGGAU